CUUUUUUUCUUCCUUCUUCUUUUCUUUCUUCUUCUUUCUUUUGGUGGUUGCUCUCACUUCUUCCUACCCUCCACCAACCAGCAGCUGCCACCAGCCACUUUUUCGGCCAGUUCUGGUUGCCGACCAGUCACCAUUUUCGGGCAACAUUCAUUCAAGCCUUUAGUUUACCCAUUUCGCUCCAAAUCAAGGUGCAAUUGAAGGAGUCUACACUUGGGUUCUAUUGUUGAUUGGAGUAGCAAGCUUGAGUAAGUGAAGCUCAAGAAUUUGAAAAGUUUUAGGUAAGAAAAGGAGAGUCUAGUCCCGGUACCAGGGUUGCAGAUCAGGAGAAGCGUGUGUGACAUGGAUAGGCCCUUGGAGAGUAAUAGGACUAGAUGGUUCUAGAAUUUGAUUAUGUUACUAGUAUUUUGUCAUACUUGUUUUUCUUGAUUGAGAUAUGUUGUGUGAUACUUCAAUUCAAUGGUUGGAUGGAAGGUUGGGAGGGUGCUCCGUGUGAUCGGGACCUCUGAAGCCGGUUUAUGGACUUCAUGUCCUGAUAAUUGAUUAUGCAUGCAGGAUUGCUCUUUACAUUGGUUGUUUGAUUAUACAAGUUAUUGUGUGUGGAAAUUUAUAUGUGAUUGUUAGGUGGCCUAAGACCCUGCUUAGAUUUGAGAAUUUAUUGAUGAUA
Tripterygium wilfordii is the source of this 664-nucleotide long non-coding RNA. RefSeq lists it as uncharacterized. The transcript is spliced from 4 exons. NCBI's taxonomy places the organism in Eukaryota, Viridiplantae, Streptophyta, Magnoliopsida, Celastrales, Celastraceae. The record is from RefSeq and is a predicted model, not a curated record.